Molecule: long non-coding RNA, 1481 nt
Organism: Vombatus ursinus (common wombat)
Lineage: Eukaryota; Metazoa; Chordata; Mammalia; Diprotodontia; Vombatidae
Exons: 3
Source: RefSeq, a predicted model, not a curated record
GCUCCGCCCAUCUCUUCACCCCCAGAUAGCCCUUCUCCCUGACCCCUAGGUUAAUCUCGCCUCUCUCUCUCUCAUUUCAUCCCUGACUCUAGACAGGUAAAGUUGCAGAAGGGGCCUGGACUGAGGGAAGCAAAGCAGCUGCUCCCCCUAAAACCCUCAGACACCUGGGGCUCCCGGAAGAGCACCCCAUCUAGGUUCCCUCCCUCCCUACUGUGAAGGCAGGGACAGGCAUGGUUAGGGACAUGGCACCCCUUUGGUGGUUUUGAGAAGGAGCUAAGUCCGAAGGAGAAAACCGAGAACUGAAAAGUGGAUACCAGUAGAUCUUGUCCUUGUUGGAGAUUAAGGAAGACCUCACUGAAGCCAAAAAAAGGUUCAGAGAGUGGGGGGGUAGGAGAAAAGGGAGCAAGAUGCCUGAGUUCUGGGAGUUUCCAGAGCGGGGAAGUCCCAGGGUGUGGGGAUGAAGGUGCUACAAUGGCCUCACCCAGCACUCUGGCCUUGGGGGAUGUAGGGCAUAGGGAAGAAAAUGGGUCAAAGCCAUGUUAGGAGUUAACCCUAUUCUUCCCAUGGCUUUCUCAAGUUCUACAGCAGCAGAGUCAGCAGAAAGCCUGCCUGCCUUAGGAGGAAGCAAGUUACAAUGGGAAAAUCACUAAAUCAGGAAUUAGAAGAGAGACCCCAGUAGUGUCCAGAGGCUGAAGUAACUGCUUCCUGGUGGACAGAAGAGAGAUCCAACACUGGAGGAGGAGAGGAACAUACAAGCGAACAAGGGACUCAGGCGCCCUGCCUCCCAGAGGUCAUUCUUUUGAGGGAAAGGGGAAAGGGGUCUUCAUGCUAAGGCUCCAACAUCCCCCUACACAUCCUCACCAGCCAAACCAGUUUGCCCCUUAAGUCAAAAAAAAGUCUGACUGGGAUAUUUGUUCCCCCCCCAAUAGAUUGUAAGCUCUUUGAGGGCAGAGACUGUCUUUUGCCUCUUCUUUUAUCCCUAGCUCUUAGCACAUAGCCUAGCACAUAGCAGGCGCUUAAAAAAUGUUCUUUGAAAUUGAAUCUAAUUAGAAGAAGGGAAGGGUGGAGAAGGAACCUCUGAUCUAAUGGGGAAAGCAAAGGUAGAAGUGUGUGUGUACAUAUGUAAUUGAACGCUGGCAUGACCCUGUCACUGCCAUUCCCCCAAUGUUUGGGGGUGUGUAGUAGCCAUCGCCUCCCCCUACAUUAAUGACACACAGUGAGCAAAAGAGGUUGGUAUGAUGGAUAACCGGACAGUAACCAGCCAAGCUAAACUAUCCCUGCCCCACCCCAUCCCCUAAAAACAGAGAAGUAGGAUAAAGCAAAACUCGGAAAGGGGGCUGGCAUCCUGGCACCCCAGACACUGACCUUCUCUGCCCCUAAGCCAUGCCUAUUCUCCCCCGGGACGGAGCAACAAAGGCCAAGAGAAAGGGAGGGGCAGAGACACAGGCGUCCCCGGCUGCCCCGCCCCCCCCUUCUCCCCA